RNAcentral lists this ribosomal RNA (668 nucleotides) under uncultured beta proteobacterium. RNAcentral describes it as "bacterial SSU rRNA". It matches the Rfam family "Bacterial small subunit ribosomal RNA", at positions 60 to 719 of the family's 1533-position model. The record is from RNAcentral. Lineage: Bacteria; Pseudomonadati; Pseudomonadota; Betaproteobacteria.
AGUCGAACGGCAGCAUGGAGAGCUUGUUCUCUGAUGGCGAGUGGCGAACGGGUGAGUAAUAUAUCGGAACGUGCCCAGUAAUGGGGAAUAACUAAUUGAAAGAUUAGCUAAUACCGCAUACGACCUACGGGUGAAAGCAGGGGAUCUUCGGACCUUGCGUUAUUGGAGCGGCCGAUAUCUGAUUAGCUAGUUGGUGGGGUAAAAGCCUACCAAGGCGACGAUCAGUAGCUGGUCUGAGAGGACGAUCAGCCACACUGGAACUGAGACACGGUCCAGACUCCUACGGGAGGCAGCAGUGGGGAAUUUUGGACAAUGGGGGAAACCCUGAUCCAGCCAUCCCGCGUGAGUGAAGAAGGCCUUCGGGUUGUAAAGCUCUUUCGGAAGUGAAGAAAACUUAUUUCGUAAUAUGUUAUAAGAAUGACGGUAACUUUAGAAGAAGCACCGGCUAACUACGUGCCAGCAGCCGCGGUAAUACGUAGGGUGCGAGCGUUAAUCGGAAUUACUGGGCGUAAAGCGUGCGCAGGCGGUUUUGUAAGUCAGAUGUGAAAUCCCCGAGCUUAACUUGGGAACUGCGUUUGAAACUACAAGACUAGAGUGUGUCAGAGGGGGGUAGAAUUCCACGUGUAGCAGUGAAAUGCGUAGAGAUGUGGAGGAAUAUCAAUGGCGAA